GCCACUGAUCUGGGUAGAUCAUCCUCCAUAUCAACCGGUCCAUCAUCUUUUCUAUGGUGUUUAUUAUCUCGGAGCUUCAUGUGCGAGCUAUUAUUUUGGUAUUUGCUGGACUUGCUUGGGCCGUGAACUCAAAAGACUCAAAACUGGACAAUGUCUCUUUCCCUGUCAGAAGCAACCGCCGAGCCUUUGGAUUUUCAGUAGUUACAGUCGGGACCUCCUAUGUGGCGCUUCAGGCGCCACUAGGGGAACGAGCACCUGCAGAGGUCCUCAUCGUGGGCCGGUCCAUAUUAAAUUCGUUGGUUAUUAAAAAAAUC
This 314-nucleotide long non-coding RNA is filed under the name Hordeum vulgare. Its description in RNAcentral is "long non-coding RNA (HVUL_LNC008803)". Lineage: Eukaryota; Viridiplantae; Streptophyta; Magnoliopsida; Poales; Poaceae. The record is from RNAcentral.